UGGCGGCGUGCCUAAUACAUGCAAGUCGAACGAACUCUGGUAUUGAUUGGUGCUUGCAUCAUGAUUUACAUUUGAGUGAGUGGCGAACUGGUGAGUAACACGUGGGAAACCUGCCCAGAAGCGGGGGAUAACACCUGGAAACAGAUGCUAAUACCGCAUAACAACUUGGACCGCAUGGUCCGAGCUUGAAAGAUGGCUUCGGCUAUCACUUUUGGAUGGUCCCGCGGCGUAUUAGCUAGAUGGUGGGGUAACGGCUCACCAUGGCAAUGAUACGUAGCCGACCUGAGAGGGUAAUCGGCCACAUUGGGACUGAGACACGGCCCAAACUCCUACGGGAGGCAGCAGUAGGGAAUCUUCCACAAUGGACGAAAGUCUGAUGGAGCAACGCCGCGUGAGUGAAGAAGGGUUUCGGCUCGUAAAACUCUGUUGUUAAAGAAGAACAUAUCUGAGAGUAACUGUUCAGGUAUUGACGGUAUUUAACCAGAAAGCCACGGCUAACUACGUGCCAGCAGCCGCGGUAAUACGUAGGUGGCAAGCGUUGUCCGGAUUUAUUGGGCGUAAAGCGAGCGCAGGCGGUUUUUUAAGUCUGAUGUGAAAGCCUUCGGCUCAACCGAAGAAGUGCAUCGGAAACUGGGAAACUUGAGUGCAGAAGAGGACAGUGGAACUCCAUGUGUAGCGGUGAAAUGCGUAGAUAUAUGGAAGAACACCAGUGGCGAAGGCGGCUGUCUGGUCUGUAACUGACGCUGAGGCUCGAAAGUAUGGGUAGCAAACAGGAUUAGAUACCCUGGUAGUCCAUACCGUAAACGAUGAAUGCUAAGUGUUGGAGGGUUUCCGCCCUUCAGUGCUGCAGCUAACGCAUUAAGCAUUCCGCCUGGGGAGUACGGCCGCAAGGCUGAAACUCAAAGGAAUUGACGGGGGCCCGCACAAGCGGUGGAGCAUGUGGUUUAAUUCGAAGCUACGCGAAGAACCUUACCAGGUCUUGACAUACUAUGCAAAUCUAAGAGAUUAGACGUUCCCUUCGGGGACAUGGAUACAGGUGGUGCAUGGUUGUCGUCAGCUCGUGUCGUGAGAUGUUGGGUUAAGUCCCGCAACGAGCGCAACCCUUAUUAUCAGUUGCCAGCAUUAAGUUGGGCACUCUGGUGAGACUGCCGGUGACAAACCGGAGGAAGGUGGGGAUGACGUCAAAUCAUCAUGCCCCUUAUGACCUGGGCUACACACGUGCUACAAUGGAUGGUACAACGAGUUGCGAACUCGCGAGAGUAAGCUAAUCUCUUAAAGCCAUUCUCAGUUCGGAUUGUAGGCUGCAACUCGCCUACAUGAAGUCGGAAUCGCUAGUAAUCGCGGAUC
This 1347-nucleotide ribosomal RNA is filed under the name Lactiplantibacillus paraplantarum. RNAcentral describes it as "bacterial SSU rRNA". It matches the Rfam family "Bacterial small subunit ribosomal RNA", at positions 37 to 1350 of the family's 1533-position model. The record is from RNAcentral. Lineage: Bacteria; Bacillati; Bacillota; Bacilli; Lactobacillales; Lactobacillaceae.